Molecule: ribosomal RNA, 501 nt
Filed under: Triticum aestivum (bread wheat)
Lineage: Eukaryota; Viridiplantae; Streptophyta; Magnoliopsida; Poales; Poaceae
Description: partial small subunit ribosomal RNA
Source: RNAcentral
AUGUACAACAGCGGCGACGGAGGUGGAGGAUGCAGAUGCAAAGGAAGGGGGAGAAGGGUUGUAGCUCAAGCCGCAGGCCACCACCGCCACCGCACCUCCACCGCCGGAAACCCGACCGCGCAGAUGCAGCUACCGGACAUCGUCAAGGAGACAGGCCUUGGCCUAAUCCUUGGCGCCAUUGGAGGCUCCUCCUACUUCUUCAUCAAUGGCCUCUGCAGCUCCCCCGAAGGCCGCCGGCUUGCCGGCGGCGCCCAGGCAGUCCUUACUAACGCGCCCCGCAUCGGCUAUUGGGUGGCCUUGUUUGGUCUCCAGGCAGCCAUUGACUGCGGCAUGGAGCACGUGAACAAGGAGGACCACCCCGUCAACACCGUCAUCUCCUGGGCCGGCGCCCACGCCGUCGUCUCCAUGCGCCAGGGGCCACGCGCCGCCGCCCUCGCCGGGCUCAAGGGUGCGGCCGUCGGUGGGCUCGCCGAGAUCGCUGCGUACGGCCUUGAUAUUUGA